Molecule: non-coding RNA, 1485 nt
Organism: Capsicum annuum
Lineage: Eukaryota; Viridiplantae; Streptophyta; Magnoliopsida; Solanales; Solanaceae
Source: Rfam
CUCAUGGAGAGUUCGAUCCUGGCUCAGGAUGAACAUUGGCAGCAUGCUUAACACAUGUAAGUCAAAUAGGAAACAUGAGAAAUGGUGUUCCCAGUGGUGGACGGGUGAGUAACGCGUAAGAACCUGCCCUUAGGAGGGGAACAAUAGCUAAAAACGGCUGCUAAUACCCCAUAGGCUAAGGAGCAAAAGGAGGAAUCCGCCCGAGGAGGGGCUCGCAUCUGAUUAGCUAGUUGGUAAGGCAAUAGCUUACCAAGGAGAUGAUCAGUAGCUGGUCCAAGAGGAUGAUUAGCCACACUGGGACUGAGAUACGGCCUAGACUCCUACGGGAGGCAGCAGUGGGGAAUUUUCCGUAAUGGGCGAAAGCCUGAUGGAGCAAUGCCAUGUGGAGGUAGAAGGCCCAUGGGUCGUGAACUUCUUUUCCCAAAGAAGAAGCAAUGACGGUAUCUGGGGAAUAAGCAUCGGCUAACUCUGUGCCAACAGCCACGGUAAUACAGAGGAUGCAAGUGUUAUUCAGAAUAAUUGGGCAUAAAGUGUCUGUAGGUGGAUUUUUAAGUCCGUCAUCAAAUCCCAGGGCUCAACCUUGGACAGGCGGUGGAAACUACCAAGCUGGAGUACGGUAGGGGCAGAGGGAAUUUUUGAUAGAGUGGUGAAAUGCGUAGAGACCAGAAAGAACACCAACUGCGAGACCGACACUGACACUGAGAGACGAAAGCUAGGGGAGCAAAUAGGAUUAGAUACCCCAGUAAUCCUAGCCGUAAACGAUGGAUACUAGGAGCUGUGCGUAUCGACCCGUGUAGUGUUGUAGCUAACAUAUUAAGUAUCCUGCCUGGGGAGUACGUUCGCAAGAAUAAAACUCAAAGGAAUUGAGGGGACCCGAACAAGCGGUGGAGCAUGUGGUUUAAUUUGAUGCAAAUCAAAGAACCUUACUAGGGCUUGACAUGUCGUAAAUCCUCUUGAAAGAGAGGGGUGCCUUCGAGAACGUGGACAUAGGUGGUGCAUGGCUGUCGUCAGCUCGUGUUGUAAGGUGUUGGGUUAAGUCCCCCAACGAGCGCAACCCUCGUAUUUAGUUGUCAUCGUUGAGUUUGGAACCCUGAACAGACUGCCGGUGAUAAUCCAGAGAAAGGUGAGGAUGACAUCGAGUCAUCAUGCCCCUUAUGCCCUAGGUGACACACGUGCUACAAUAGCCGGGACAAAGGGUCGCGAUCCUGCGAGGGUGAGCUAACCUCAAAAACCCAUCCUCAGUUCGGAUUACAGGCUGCAACUCGCCUACAUAAAGCCGAAAUUGCUAUUAAUCGCCAGUUAUCCAUACGGUGGUGAAUUCAUUCCCGGGCUUUAUACACACCGCCCAUCACACUAUGGGAGCUGGCCAUGCCCGAAGUCGUUACCUUAAUCGCAAGAAGGGGAAUGUCGAAGGCAGGGCUAGUGACUGGAGUAAAGUUAUAACAAUGUAGUCGUACUAGAAGGUGCAGCUGGAUCACCUCCUUU